Molecule: long non-coding RNA, 153 nt
Organism: Thalassophryne amazonica
Lineage: Eukaryota; Metazoa; Chordata; Actinopteri; Batrachoidiformes; Batrachoididae
Exons: 4
Source: RefSeq, a predicted model, not a curated record
GCCCUUGUGGCUCGUCAAACUAAAAACGCCCUUCGUACAGUCUGGAUGGAAGCGAUCUGAAUGCUACCUGUCACACGUCACCUUCGCUGUCUUUCCCUCCACAAACUUUAUGUUGCACUCUGUUAUCUAACCAACAUCCUGCUGACUAAGCAU